RNAcentral lists this unclassified non-coding RNA (575 nucleotides) under Hevea brasiliensis (rubber tree). Lineage: Eukaryota; Viridiplantae; Streptophyta; Magnoliopsida; Malpighiales; Euphorbiaceae. The record is from RNAcentral.
GGGGCCGUGGAGGAGGUCGAGGUCGAUCUGGAGGCUCUGAUUUGAAGUGCUACGAAUGUGGUGAAUCAGGUCAUUUUGCUCGUGAGUGCAGAACGCGUGGGGGUCCAGGAGCUGGAAGACGUAGAAGUCGGAGCCCUCCUAGAUACCGCAGGAGCCCAAGUUAUGGUCGUAGGAGUUACAGUCCACGUGGGCGUUCCCCUAGGCGCCGAAGCCCGUCACCACGUGGUCGCAGCUAUAGCCGUUCUCCAUAUCGAGGUCGAGAAGAAGCUCCAUAUGUUAAUGGAAAUGGACUUAGAGAGUGUCACAGAAGCCGAAGCUGAAUGAAAGAGAUGAUAGCCUGACAUGUCCUGGAGUCUUUCGAUUUGUGUUACUGUCCUUGACUUAAUCACAACUGUGUAAGUGAGGCCAUGCCCUCAGCUUAAACUGGUGGUUUUGGUUAAGUUUAAGUUCUUGCUUUGGUGUCGUUAGUGUUAGUUUUAUUUUUACUCAAUGUUACCCUUUUUAAGAACCUAAUAUCAUAGGGAUUUAUAUGUUGGAUUUUAUGGUAGUUGUUAUUUUUUAUGAAGAAAAUCACA